CGCUGGCGGCGUGCCUAAUACAUGCAAGUCGAGCGAAUCUGAGGGAGCUUGCUCCCAAAGAUUAGCGGCGGACGGGUGAGUAACACGUGGGUAACCUGCCUGUAAGAUUGGGAUAACUCCGGGAACCGGAGCUAAUACCGGAUAACAUUUUGAACCGCAUGGUUCAAAAUUGAAAGACGGCUUUGGCUGUCACUUACAGAUGGACCCGCGGCGCAUUAGCUAGUUGGUGAGGUAACGGCUCACCAAGGCAACGAUGCGUAGCCGACCUGAGAGGGUGAUCGGCCACACUGGGACUGAGACACGGCCCAGACUCCUACGGGAGGCAGCAGUAGGGAAUCUUCCGCAAUGGACGAAAGUCUGACGGAGCAACGCCGCGUGAACGAUGAAGGCCUUCGGGUCGUAAAGUUCUGUUGUUAGGGAAGAACAAGUACCAGAGUAACUGCUGGUACCUUGACGGUACCUAACCAGAAAGCCACGGCUAACUACGUGCCAGCAGCCGCGGUAAUACGUAGGUGGCAAGCGUUGUCCGGAAUUAUUGGGCGUAAAGCGCGCGCAGGCGGUUUCUUAAGUCUGAUGUGAAAGCCCACGGCUCAACCGUGGGGGGUCAUUGGAAACUGGGGAACUUGAGUGCAGAAGAAGAGAGUGGGAAUUCCACGUGUAGCGGU
This 665-nucleotide ribosomal RNA is filed under the name Bacillus sp. G12-11A. RNAcentral's name for it is "bacterial SSU rRNA". It matches the Rfam family "Bacterial small subunit ribosomal RNA", at positions 34 to 682 of the family's 1533-position model. The record is from RNAcentral. Lineage: Bacteria; Bacillati; Bacillota; Bacilli; Caryophanales; Bacillaceae.